AUAGCGUAUAUUAAAGUUGUUGAGGUUAAAAAGCUCGUAGUUGAACCUUGGGCCUAGCCGGCCGGUCCGCCUCACCGCGUGCACUGGCUCGGCUGGGCCUUUCCUUCUGGAGAACCGCAUGCCCUUCAGUGGGUGUGCCGGGGAACCAGGACUUUUACCGUGAAAAAAUUAGAUCGCUUAAAGAAGGCCUAUGCUCGAAUACAUUAGCAUGGAAUAAUAGAAUAGGACGUGUGGUUCUAUUUUGUUGGUUUCUAGGACCGCCGUAAUGAUUAAUAGGGACAGUCGGGGGCAUCAGUAUUCAAUUGUCAGAGGUGAAAUUCUUGGAUUUAUUGAAGACUAACUACUGCGAAAGCAUUUGCCAAGGAUGUUUUCAUUAAUCAGGAACGAAAGUUAGGGGAUCGAAGACGAUCAGAUACC
RNAcentral lists this ribosomal RNA (417 nucleotides) under Achaetomium macrosporum. RNAcentral describes it as "SSU rRNA". It matches the Rfam family "Eukaryotic small subunit ribosomal RNA", at positions 594 to 1016 of the family's 1831-position model. Lineage: Eukaryota; Fungi; Ascomycota; Sordariomycetes; Sordariales; Chaetomiaceae. The record is from RNAcentral.